GAAUAGGACAAAGAUUCUAAGAAGGUGGGAAGGAAGAAGGCUGCAGUCUAUUUCAAGUCUGGUGAAUUUCAAUCACUGUAGCCUUUAUUGUUAUUUUAGAGCCACCUAGACCAAAAGAGAAGGAGCUCAAAUUGCUGGAGGGGAUUUAGUGGCAGGAGGACAAAGUCAGAAGAGAAAUUUUUCACAGUAUAUCUUCUUGAGCCAUGUGACCAUAUGCUCUAAUUUUUUUAACUAUAAAAUUUAAAUUAAAAAAACCACAAAAAUUCGACGCAAGAGCAGCAGCCACAGUGGCUGAAGAUGAGAGGACUCCUGUGCCAGCCAAGGUGGAAGCAGAAAUUACUCCCCAGUCUCCACUGACUACAGGAACAGGAGGGCCACACACCCAUUUGGUGGCCAUAACAUUGAAAGCUGGGACAGCAGGACUGGUCUGGACCUGAGGCGUAAAAGACAACACUUGCAGCCAGCCCUGGUACUUGCAUAGUGGCAAAAUGUCCCAAGCUGGAGGAAAUGGAUAAGAAUUGGGUACACAUCACCCGUACUGGGAAUAAACAAAUGUGUUCUGAUUAUUUGGAAAAAGCAGACAUUCUAGGGGUAGGGAGUUCUAAAGCCUUGGUGCACUUGAAUGGAUAAACUUCCCAGGAGCAGAGUUUUCCAAGCAUGGCUCCCUGUGGUUCACCUCUACCAAGCUUAACCUACCUUCUGCUUAGGCAGAGCGAAGAGGCACCUCAGCAUAACUCAGAUCAAAAUGGAAGCAUCUCAUUUCUUAAAAGCUGUCAAAGAAUUGGUGUGAGGUUUAAAAACGUCUCUGAGCUUGAUGGAAGGAAGGUGAAAGAAGACUGCAGCUGAGUUCUAUUAUCAAAGCAAAGUGCUGUACUGUACUUGAAAUAACUCUAGCAAAUACUGUGCUUCCUGCACAGAACCUGUUGGAUUACUCACACAAAUGUCAAAGAACAGGUUGACAUUUUAGCAAGUUAUCAGCCUGGCCCAUAUAAAAAAAGACAUUUCUAGUUUUUACACUUUGCAGGGUUCAGAGAGCAGUUGAAU
This is a long non-coding RNA of Homo sapiens (human), 1044 nucleotides long. Ensembl annotates it as FHL1 pseudogene 1. Its record names the gene FHL1P1. Lineage: Eukaryota; Metazoa; Chordata; Mammalia; Primates; Hominidae. The record is from Ensembl.